UCAGGAAUGCUUGCUUAAUUGGAAUGAUAACGAGAAGAUUAGCAUGGCCCUUGCACAAGGAUGACAUGCAAAUUCGUGAUGUGUUUCCUAUUAAA
RNAcentral lists this small nuclear RNA (95 nucleotides) under Jaculus jaculus (lesser Egyptian jerboa). Lineage: Eukaryota; Metazoa; Chordata; Mammalia; Rodentia; Dipodidae. The record is from RNAcentral.